UCCAUGGUGGCCGAAACAUUUAGGCAUUAAGCUUUUAACUUAACCAUAGUUUACACAACUUCAUGGAU
This 68-nucleotide transfer RNA is filed under the name Physunio superbus. RNAcentral's name for it is "tRNA-Lys". The record is from RNAcentral. Lineage: Eukaryota; Metazoa; Mollusca; Bivalvia; Unionida; Unionidae.